CCUACGGGAGGCAGCAGUGGGGAAUUUUGGACAAUGGGCGAAAGCCUGAUCCAGCCAUACCGCGUGCGGGAAGAAGGCCUUCGGGUUGUAAACCGCUUUUGUCAGGGAAGAAAUACCUCGGGUUAAUACCCUGGGUGAUGACGGUACCUGAAGAAUAAGCACCGGCUAACUACGUGCCAGCAGCCGCGGUAAUACGUAGGGUGCAAGCGUUAAUCGGAAUUACUGGGCGUAAAGCGUGCGCAGGCGGUUCUAUAAGACAGAUGUGAAAUCCCCGGGCUCAACCUGGGAACUGCAUUUGUGACUGUAGAGCUAGAGUACGGUAGAGGGGGAUGGAAUUCCGCGUGUAGCAGUGAAAUGCGUAGAUAUGCGGAGGAACACCGAUGGCGAAGGCAAUCCCCUGGACCUGUACUGACGCUCAUGCACGAAAGCGUGGGGAGCAAACAGGAUUAGAUACCCUGGUAGUCCACGCCCUAAACGAUGUCAACUGGUUGUUGGGAGGGUUUCUUCUCAGUAACGAAGCUAACGCGUGAAGUUGACCGCCGUGGAGGUACGGCCGCGAGUAGUAACGUACGAAGUUAAGUUAGUACGGCGUUGAGAGNGCCGACGGACGACGACGAGGGAGGAGG
RNAcentral lists this ribosomal RNA (626 nucleotides) under uncultured bacterium. RNAcentral describes it as "bacterial SSU rRNA". The stretch from base 1 to 541 matches the Rfam family "Bacterial small subunit ribosomal RNA", at positions 338 to 873 of the family's 1533-position model. The record is from RNAcentral.